CCCUCUUUCGGCCGGCCCCCACGGCUGGUGAUGUUUCUUCCGCGGAAGCAAGUGGGAGCCGCUGCCUAAGGAAGCCGGUGCAGCAGAUGAGAAAAAUGAAUCACAGCAAAAUCAAAUGGCUUUCCUAGUACACCAAACUAGUAAGGAAUGGAGCAAGUAUUCACAUCUGACCAGCUUUAUCCAGUUUCCUUAGGGCUUUGGGGGAUACUUUGACAACAUAUGAUAAACAGCAAUACAUUAAACUAUAUAUAUGACCCAAAAAGAGGAUAGCAAAUUUCUUAUAUGGAUACAGGACUCCAAAGGCAAAAUAUAUACCUAACAUAGUCCAGGAAGUGGAAUGGCAACA
Molecule: non-coding RNA, 346 nt
Organism: Odocoileus virginianus texanus
Lineage: Eukaryota; Metazoa; Chordata; Mammalia; Artiodactyla; Cervidae
Source: RefSeq, a predicted model, not a curated record